AUUCUCUUUUUCAGACACAGUCUCACGAAGCCAAGGAUAGGAUACUCCCCAGUCAACCUUGGACUUCUGAUAUUCCUGCUUCCACCUUUCAAAUGCUGGAUUUUCAGGGUCGUCCUGCGUAGCCUGGACUUUCAGCAAACUGCCGAUCCUUCUGCCUUCCUCUCUGAGUCCCAGCAUGAUAGGUGUGGGCUACCCCACCAGCUGCCAAUCCCUCCUUGCUGCUUCUUUUUCUGCAAGAACAGCCCUCCUCUACCUCCUGCCCAUUGUAAAGCCUUCUGGCCUAGAAUGGCCACUGGAGAAGAAAGCCAGCAGAGAUGGAUAAACCACAUUCAGGCCUUGUGCCACAGCCACAGCUGCCAUGCCAUUUCUAUUGGCACGAGCCGUGAAGGCUGCCAGGAACCCGCCCUGCCCAGGGAACAUGUUUCAAGAGAGCACAGCAGGCAGCUGUUCACAUCUGGCUACACAGCUGGCUGUAGUGAAUCCCAGCUGCUUCUCCCAAAGGGCCAGGAGAGCUGAACUCGGUAAGACGAAGACAGAGCCAAGACACAGAAGCAGCUCUGGGCAAGAUGGAGAAGACCCAUCUGGCCAGAACCACCUGCCCUCAGAGGUCCAUCAGUUCAGCAUUCUCCGCAGCUGCCUGGAGAGGAAAGCAGAAGUCUUACACUUGGCCAGCUUGCGUAGGACCCGUAGGUGAAGGAGAUACACCUCCAUCCAGUCUCAGCCCCAGAGCCUUCUGGUAUCCGCCGGAGAACUGGACACGCCAGGACCAUCCUAGACAUACUGUCUCAUUAACACUAAGAAGGUGUGUUCUCCAGGACUGUCUCAAGUGUUAAGGGACAGAGCCAGGACAAGACCGCAGUAGUGAGACACUCAAGUUUCUUCUCCCUCUACAAGGCCAAGGUGCCUCUCACAGGCCAGCGGAGACAGGAAGGAGGAAGGAACACAUAAAUCCAGCUGUCGCAAAGGAGAGCAGAAGACAGAGAAAACACCAUUCUCCUCUUCAAACCAAAACAAACACACUCUGGGGCUGCUGAUUCAACAUGAAUCUGUGGAAUGCAGGGAGAUGCCUGGUGGGAGUACCCCCCACUGCUUCCGGGUGGGCGCUAGCCGCCGAGGCUGAGGACAGCGCCUCGUCUGUCUUCCACCACCGCCCGGUCCUCUAAGGUCCUCUAAGAGAACCUCUGGACAGCUCCAAACGCCCGGCCUCUUCAUCACCUCACUCGGCAAGGCCAAGCCCUUGAGAAGCAGUCCGGCCUGCUUCUGCAGAGGGCGUGGCUGCUUGUGACCACAGGCUAAAUGAGAAGGGUAAUGGGGGCUUAAACGCAUCUAUUCCCGGGUCCUCCCCAGGAGGAAGAGAAGAGGGAUGCAAUAGGUGUUUAUUUUACAGAGUUCUCCCAGCCCAGGAGAGAAGCUAAUGUUAGGUACUGGAUUCUCAGGGCGCUGAACAACAAGAGACCCUACUUGUGCUCGCCAAAGAGGUCUGAGUCGCGAAGCGGCCGCGUCUAGACAGGUUCUGGCCAAGUCAGCACUUGCCAUGAUUACUGCCCCUCAUCCUCCACUUCCCGCCAAGCCCCACAAUCGGAGGGCCGCCCCCCUGAAUCCGGGCUCACAAGGAAAGGCCGGCAGCGUCAGGCCUGGAAGUCAGCGGGCCCAGGUCUCGUCUCUGACCUAGCUCAGGUCAGGUAUCCGGGCACCUACCCUCCUCAGCAUCCCACCUCGCCGCCGCCAGGCUGACUUACAG
This is a long non-coding RNA of Meriones unguiculatus (Mongolian gerbil), 1741 nucleotides long. RefSeq lists it as uncharacterized. The record is from RefSeq and is a predicted model, not a curated record. The transcript is spliced from 4 exons. NCBI's taxonomy places the organism in Eukaryota, Metazoa, Chordata, Mammalia, Rodentia, Muridae.